UUUGUUCAUAAGCGGUGUUUACAGGAGUCACAAGAUCUAAUCACAUGCGUAGAAACAGAAACUUCAACUAAAGAGAAAAGUGAAAACCAAAACAAAAAAUAUGCUAUUAAAACAGAAAGACCACAUGGCCCGUAAGCGAUGUUUACAGGAGUCACAAGAUCUAUCACAUGCGUAGAAACAGAAACUUCAACUAAAGAGAAAAGUGAAAACCAAAACAAAAAUAUGCUAACAUUUAAACAGAAAGACCACAUGGCCCGUAAGCGAUGUUUACAGGAGUCACAAGAUUAGAAUUACAACGUUCACAACUAAGGAGAAAGUGAAAAGUGAAAUAAACAACAUGUUAUUAACACAGAAAUCUGAUUUACCCAUAGUUGUAUUCCGGAGACAAAAGUAUACUCUUCCAGUUAUGAGCAAACACACAAACAUCAGAAAAGCAAAUCAAAACCAAAAUCAAGUACAUAGAAAGGCCUCAAAUGAUGUGAGGCAAUACCAGAUAAUGUCGAUAUCAUACGAGCAGAAACAAUAUCCGUUGUAUAAUCUUACUUCA
This 547-nucleotide long non-coding RNA is filed under the name Actinidia chinensis (golden kiwifruit). RNAcentral describes it as "long non-coding RNA (ACHI_LNC005643)". The record is from RNAcentral. Lineage: Eukaryota; Viridiplantae; Streptophyta; Magnoliopsida; Ericales; Actinidiaceae.